Callorhinus ursinus (northern fur seal) is the source of this 636-nucleotide long non-coding RNA. RefSeq lists it as uncharacterized. NCBI's taxonomy places the organism in Eukaryota, Metazoa, Chordata, Mammalia, Carnivora, Otariidae. The record is from RefSeq and is a predicted model, not a curated record.
UGGAGGGUCCAGGAGGAAGCCUUUUUCUCUACUUGGCACAGCCUCAGAACACUAAUGCAGCAUCAGGACUGCUCUAAUUUGUUGGUGAGAACCCAGAUUCAAGGGGUGGGCCUGGCCAGGACAGGGACAGAGUCAGGCCUGGCUUCAGGAUGGUGAUGUUCUGCAGCCUGGUGGCCUGAGCUCAGCAGUGGCAGUCACCAGGUAGCCUGUGGACAACAGUAGCAGCCUGGAGCUACAGUCGAGCUGCCCCAUAAGCCUGCAGGUGUACCAUCACUGAUGGCCAUUGCAACUAUAGACACAGGCCCAACUCCUUCAGACUAGAAACUCCUCUCCUGCUCCUGACUCUCUGCUGCAACCUUAGAGGUCCUGCAUUUGUCAGAUACAGCAGAUGUGCUCUGGGCACCAGAUGCCAUAGGCCUUUCUCCCAGGCUCAAACCAUGCUGACUUUUAGCUGCAGUCCUUAACAAAGAAGAUGGCAGCAGGAACUUCAACACCUUCCUCUCAGUGUUAACUACAGGACAAAUCUGAACUCGUCCCUGUUCAUCACGUCUGUCUUCAGGCUCCUCACCAGCACCAGAAACUCUGUGCUUCCUCAGAGGCUGUGGCAUCAAUAAAGGUUUAUCUAUUGAACAAGAA